GAAAUUACCGGCAAGGGUUGUAGCUGGCCUUUCGGGGCAUGUGCACACCCGAGCCUUUAAUCCAACAUACACCUGUGAACCCAAUGUAAGGGCCCGUAAAAAGGCCCCUACGUCUUUAUCACCAACUCUGUAUUCAUAGAAUGUAAUCCAUAUCUUCGCCUUAACAAGCGUUGGUAAAACUUAUACAACUUUCAACAACGGAUCUCUUGGCUCU
This 214-nucleotide unclassified non-coding RNA is filed under the name rhizosphere metagenome. RNAcentral's name for it is "partial ribosomal RNA internal transcribed spacer region". The record is from RNAcentral.